UGGGGAAUAUUGCACAAUGGGCGCAAGCCUGAUGCAGCCAUGCCGCGUGUGUGAAGAAGGCCUUCGGGUUGUAAAGCACUUUCAGCGGGGAGGAAGGCGAUAAGGUUAAUAACCUUGUCGAUUGACGUUACCCGCAGAAGAAGCACCGGCUAACUCCGUGCCAGCAGCCGCGGUAAUACGGAGGGUGCAAGCGUUAAUCGGAAUUACUGGGCGUAAAGCGCACGCAGGCGGUCUGUCAAGUCGGAUGUGAAAUCCCCGGGCUUAACCUGGGAACUGCAUUCGAAACUGGCAGGCUAGAGUCUUGUAGAGGGGGGUAGAAUUCCAGGUGUAGCGGUGAAAUGCGUAGAGAUCUGGAGGAAUACCGGUGGCGAAGGCGGCGCCCUGGACGAAGACUGACGCUCAGGUGCGAAAGCGUGGGGAGCAAACAGG
This 429-nucleotide ribosomal RNA is filed under the name Chloroflexota bacterium. Its description in RNAcentral is "Chloroflexi bacterium partial 16S ribosomal RNA". It matches the Rfam family "Bacterial small subunit ribosomal RNA", at positions 355 to 776 of the family's 1533-position model. Lineage: Bacteria; Bacillati; Chloroflexota. The record is from RNAcentral.